This 609-nucleotide ribosomal RNA is filed under the name uncultured fungus. RNAcentral's name for it is "eukaryotic LSU rRNA". It matches the Rfam family "Eukaryotic large subunit ribosomal RNA", at positions 23 to 673 of the family's 3401-position model. Lineage: Eukaryota; Fungi. The record is from RNAcentral.
ACCCGCUGAACUUAAGCAUAUCAAUAAGCGGAGGAAAAGAAACCAACAGGGAUUGCCUUAGUAACGGCGAGUGAAGCGGCAAAAGCUCAAAUUUGAAAUCGGCCACCAGGUCGAGUUGUAAUUUGUAGAUUGUAUCUUGAGAGCGGAUUAAAGUCUGUUGGAACACAGCGCCUUAGAGGGUGACAGCCCCGUAAAAUCUAUUCUCAUUGUAAGAUACUUUCGAAGAGUCGAGUUGUUUGGGAAUGCAGCUCUAAGUGGGAGGUAAAUUCCUUCUAAAGCUAAAUAUUGACGAGAGACCGAUAGCGAACAAGUACUGUGAAGGAAAGAUGAAAAGCACUUUGAAAAGAGAGUGAAAAAGUACGUGAAAUUGUUAAAAGGGAAGGGUAUUGAAUCAGACUUGGUGCUGUUGUUCAACUGUGUUUCGGCAUAGUGUACUCAGCAGUACUAGGCCAAGGUGGGGUGUUUGGGAGUGAAAAAGAAGUUGGAACGUAACUCUUCGGAGUGUUAUAGCCUACUUUCAUAGCUCCUCAGGCGCCUCAGGACUGCGCUUCGGCAAGGACCUUGGCAUAAUGAUUCUAUACCGCCCGUCUUGAAACACGGACCAAGGAG